CAGCCGCCGCGGUAAUACGUAGGUGGCUAGCGUUGUCCGGAAUUAUUGGGCGUAAAGGGCUCGCAGGCGGUUUCUUAAGUCUGAUGUGAAAGCCCCCGGCUCAACCGGGGAGGGUCAUUGGAAACUGGGAAACUUGAGUGCAGAAGAGGAGAGUGGAAUUCCACGUGUAGCGGUGAAAUGCGUAGAGAUGUGGAGGAACACCAGUGGCGAAGGCGACUCUCUGGUCUGUAACUGACGCUGAGGAGCGAAAGCGUGGGGAGCGAACAGGAUUAGAUACCCGGGUAGUCCCUGUCUCUUAUAC
RNAcentral lists this ribosomal RNA (301 nucleotides) under uncultured bacterium. RNAcentral describes it as "partial 16S ribosomal RNA". It matches the Rfam family "Bacterial small subunit ribosomal RNA", at positions 509 to 807 of the family's 1533-position model. The record is from RNAcentral.